This 799-nucleotide ribosomal RNA is filed under the name uncultured bacterium. RNAcentral describes it as "bacterial SSU rRNA". It matches the Rfam family "Bacterial small subunit ribosomal RNA", at positions 19 to 807 of the family's 1533-position model. The record is from RNAcentral.
CUGGCGGAGGAUGAACGCUGGCGGCGUGCUUAACACAUGCAAGUCGAACGGAGUUGUGAUGUGAGCGAGAGGUAGCUUGCUAUUAAUCAAUCUUUUCACAACUUAGUGGCGGACGGGUGAGUAACGCGUGGGUAACCUGCCCUGUACAGGGGGAUAACAGUUGGAAACGACUGCUAACACCGCAUAACAUCGCGAGAGCGCAUGAUCUUGCGAUCAAAUAUUUAUAGGUACAGGAUGGGCCCGCGUCUGAUUAGCUAGAUGGUGAGGUAACGGCCCACCAUGGCGACGAUCAGUAGCCGUACUGAGAGGUAGAACGGCCACAUUGGGACUGAGACACGGCCCAAACUCCUACGGGAGGCAGCAGUGGGGAAUAUUGGUCAAUGGGGGAAACCCUGAACCAGCGACGCCGCGUGAGUGAAGAAGUAUUUCGGUAUGUAAAGCUCUAUCAGCAGGGACGAUGAUGACGGUACCUGACUAAGAAGCCCCGGCUAACUACGUGCCAGCAGCCGCGGUAAUACGUAGGGGGCAAGCGUUAUCCGGAUUUACUGGGUGUAAAGGGAGUGUAGGUGGUCAUGCAAGUCCGAUGUGAAAACCCGGGGCUUAACCCCGUGACUGCAUUGGAAACUGUGUGACUGGAGUGCAGGAGAGGUAAGUGGAAUUCCUAGUGUAGCGGUGAAAUGCGUAGAUAUUAGGAAGAACACCGGUGGCGAAGGCGGCUUACUGGACUGUAACUGACACUGAGGCUCGAAGGCGUGGGGAGCAAACAGGAUUAGAUACCCUGGUAGUCCACGCCGUAAAC